Molecule: non-coding RNA, 46 nt
Organism: Myotis brandtii (Brandt's bat)
Lineage: Eukaryota; Metazoa; Chordata; Mammalia; Chiroptera; Vespertilionidae
Source: Rfam
GCCUAGGCCCUUUUAAGGGCCACUUUGUAGCCCUAAUAAAAUAUUC